This 350-nucleotide long non-coding RNA is filed under the name Trifolium pratense (red clover). Its description in RNAcentral is "long non-coding RNA (TPRA_LNC012598)". The record is from RNAcentral. Lineage: Eukaryota; Viridiplantae; Streptophyta; Magnoliopsida; Fabales; Fabaceae.
AUUUGACCUACUCUUGGAUGAAACAUAUUGCAUUUUGUUACUUUACUUUCACAACUUUCAUACAAUAUAUUUGACAUGCUACUUUUAUUACAGGUGCACCUAUAGUAGGUAUGCUUUUUGAGAAGAUAGGCACUGAUGCAUAUAUGAUGAGAACCUUGAGGGAUAAGGAGAAGAAAAAGGAAUAGAAUGGUAAAAUUGAUGCAUAGUAUAUGGAGGAUUGUUUAUUGUUUAAUAUAUAUAUAUAUAUAUAUGCUAUCAUACAUUUAACACCACACAUUAAUUUAAUUUGUCGACUCUAUGUUUGAAGAGAUUAUGUAAUGGCUUUAAUUUUGAAUUUGGAGUUAUUAGAC